UCCCUGGAGGACAAGUGGUUAGACCUCAGCACUCUCACAGACGCGGCCUGGGUCCGAUUCCCAGGCAGGGAA
Molecule: non-coding RNA, 72 nt
Organism: Pangasianodon gigas (Mekong giant catfish)
Lineage: Eukaryota; Metazoa; Chordata; Actinopteri; Siluriformes; Pangasiidae
Source: the annotation of a GenBank genome assembly